CUCACCGUGUUCUUUUUUCCUUCUAGUAGGUUGUAUCAGCUUGUAUGGCACCAUCCCAAGGAUGCAAGAGUGGAAACUGCAAUACUUCUUCAGAUCUAAGUUGCAAAACUUGCACAUCAUUGCUGAUACAGUUUAUUAUUCAAAGCAAAUUACAAGGUCAUCCCAGACUAAAGGAGUGGAGAAAAAGACUCUACCAUCUGACGAGAGAAAUUACACAAUCAUGUGGCAGUACUUUCUAGUUGCUAUAGCCUACCCUGUGGCCACAGUUAUUUACAUUCUUUCUGUAUGUAAAAUAUGCUCACUCUUCCCUAAAAGGCCUCAUCCCAUUCUGACUCAGGCUCAAAAUUUUAAAAUAUUAUCAUCUAAAUGUAGAUUACAUGUAGAUGAGGAUCCCUGGUCGAACUCUUGGGUAUGAAUCCUGUUCCAGAGAUUUGUGAAUUAAAAAAACAAGCUAUCUACACUUCACAACCCAAAUAGAAAAUUGCAGUGAUGCUCCGAUUCACAAGGCAGAGAAACAGGAAACACAGAGCAAUAACUAGAAUAUAGGAAUUCUGAAGUCUAGCCAGGUACACUGACAGUUCCCUGUGUUUCAGGACAGAUACAUCCCUUGAUUAGAGCACACUCUGCUUUCUGAAUGGUCCCCUAGCCCAGUAUUCUUCAUCAUUUCAUGCAUUGAUCCAUUGAGAAGUCUGUGAAUUCCACCUCCUUAAUAUUUCUUAAAAGAAUGAAAUUAUGUCAUUUGCUGGUAAAUGGAUGGAAAUGGAGAAUAUCUUGCUAAGUGAAAUAAGCCACACUUAGAAAGACAAGAGUCAAAUAUUUUCUUUCUCUCUCUCUCUCUCUCUCUCUCUCUCUUUCUCUUCAGAAAAAAUAAAGGUUGUGGGGGGAAUCUCACAAUAAUAGAAAAUAAUAGAAGGGAAAACAAUAGCAUAGAGGAAGGGGAUGCGGGGAAGAGUGAGAGUGAGCAAGACAGGAAGGAGGGGAGGGCAUAGGGAGUACUUGUGUUAGAAAUCUACCAAAUUAUGCUAUGACCAUGUAUGAAUAUACCACAAUGUACAUAUAUAUAAUUAUAAUGCACUAAUAAAAAUAAUAAUAAUAAUAGGAGAGAGAGCAGUAGAGUAGAAAAGGUGGAUCAGAGGAAGGGAGGAAGGGGGAAAAGGAAGGUACUGGGGAAUGAGAUUGAUCAAAUUAUGUUAAGUGCAUGUGUGAAUAUGGCAUAAUGGAUUCUGCUAUUAUUUGUUAUUACAAUGUACCAAUAAAAACCCUUCCAAUCUAUUAAUAAUGCCACUACUUUGAGGCCUUUAUGAUUUAUUUUGCCUUUACAAUUGAAAUGAUUUCCCUGCCAACUGUUUCUUUCUUUAGUGCACCAGAAAGUUCUUUGGAAACACAAAUCUGAUAAUGUAUUUUCAUUGCUUAAGAUUUUUCCAGUGGUUCUGGUAGCGUUCUUUUUCUUAAUGUAGGUGUUGAUUACACAGCUGUGUUUGCUUUGUGAAAAUUUAUUGAGCUGUAAACAUAUGAAUUAUGUACUUUCUGCAUAUAUGACUUAAAUGAAAAGGUUAUAUUUAAUAAUCCUCCCAUAGUUUCCCAUUGUAUCCAGGAUAGAGUCAAAACUCUUAGCACAAUACAUAAAGCCUGUCAGGACUCCUAUGUUUCCAAAUUCCUGUUAUUGCCCCUAACUUCCCAUGGAUAAUACCUUGUCUUCUGCAAAUAAACUAU
RNAcentral lists this long non-coding RNA (1713 nucleotides) under Marmota monax (woodchuck). The record is from RNAcentral. Lineage: Eukaryota; Metazoa; Chordata; Mammalia; Rodentia; Sciuridae.